CUGAAGGAACCGUCUAACCGCAACAUCACUCAUCUCAGAGAUGAGAGAGGUGGAUAAAUCGGUUGAAGGCCUAGGGAAGAGAAGCUAAAUCUGAAGGAUUUGAGGAAGCAUGAGAACUAGGGAUCAAAAUUUGAUUUCGAGAAUCUAUGGCUUGGGCACCUAGUUGACCAUCACAACAUAAACUUUAUUCGGUCAUGAACAACCGAGAGCAAAGCAGCAAGAAACGCCGACAGC
Long non-coding RNA from Arabidopsis thaliana (thale cress), 234 nucleotides. RefSeq annotates it as other RNA. The record is from RefSeq. The transcript has a single exon. NCBI's taxonomy places the organism in Eukaryota, Viridiplantae, Streptophyta, Magnoliopsida, Brassicales, Brassicaceae.